This 490-nucleotide ribosomal RNA is filed under the name uncultured bacterium. RNAcentral's name for it is "partial 16S ribosomal RNA". It matches the Rfam family "Bacterial small subunit ribosomal RNA", at positions 30 to 507 of the family's 1533-position model. The record is from RNAcentral.
AUUGAACGCUGGCGGCAGGCCUAACACAUGCCAGUCGAACGGUAACAGGAAGAAGCUUGCUUCUUUGCUGACGAGUGGCGGACGGGUGAGUAAUGUCUGGGAAACUGCCUGAUGGAGGGGGAUAACUACUGGAAACGGUAGCUAAUACCGCAUAACGUCGCAAGACCAAAGAGGGGGACCUUCGGGCCUCUUGCCAUCGGAUGUGCCCAGAUGGGAUUAGCUAGUAGGUGGGGUAACGGCUCACCUAGGCGACGAUCCCUAGCUGGUCUGAGAGGAUGACCAGCCACACUGGAACUGAGACACGGUCCAGGCUCCUACGGGAGGCAGCAGUGGGGAAUAUUGCACAAUGGGCGCAAGCCUGAUGCAGCCAUGCCGCGUGUAUGAAGAAGGCCUUCGGGUUGUAAAGUACUUUCAGCGGGGAGGAAGGGAGUAAAGUUAAUACCUUUGCUCAUUGACGUUACCCGCAGAAGAAGCACCGGCUAACUCCGUG